Pelobates cultripes (western spadefoot toad) is the source of this 420-nucleotide non-coding RNA. NCBI's taxonomy places the organism in Eukaryota, Metazoa, Chordata, Amphibia, Anura, Pelobatidae. The record is from the annotation of a GenBank genome assembly.
CAGGGCUGUAACUGGGGACACUUAGUGGGUUUAAGUGUAGGAGGUGCCAUGAUAGCUAGUUGAGAGGAGAGAGUGUUGUAGAGGGAGGUUGCAGUGUUAUGGCAGGUGAGAUUUGAGAUUGGUGAAGGGAGACUUUGGAGGUUGGUGGAGAAUUGCUGUAGGUCAAGACAAUGGAGGUUUUUGCGAGACUGAUGUGGUGAGGUUGAGGUACUUUGGGUACGGGGUAUGUGGAUGUCAAUGGACAGCUCAUGGUGGUCAGAUAGAGGAAAUGGAACAUUGAAGAGAUUAGAGGUGGUACAGUGAUUGGUGAAGAUGAGGUCAAGAGUGUUUCCUGCUCUAUGAGUUGAUGAAUUUAGACCACUGUGUGAGUCCAACGGUGGAGGUUAUAGAGAGCAGACGAGAGGCAUCAGGGCAGUUAGU